Long non-coding RNA from Malania oleifera, 1323 nucleotides. RefSeq lists it as uncharacterized. The record is from RefSeq and is a predicted model, not a curated record. Lineage: Eukaryota; Viridiplantae; Streptophyta; Magnoliopsida; Santalales; Ximeniaceae. The transcript has 2 exons.
AUUUUUUCUAUUUCUCUCUUGCAUCUCUCCCAAUCUCCAUUCUCUUCUCUCCUUUCCUUUUCCUCUGCGAACAGCCCCCAAAGCCCUAGCCAACGCCCCUGUCUCUCUGCCAUUUCAGCGGUUUCCAUACUCUCCUUCGCCGCAUACUUUUGCGAUUUCUCCACCUACACAAGGCGACUGAGAACCGGUUCUUACCGGGCCAUGAUCCGACCGCGGUCUUAGCAUUCUCUCACUCAGAGUCCGACUCCUGCUCUGAAGCCGGCAAGCGACGGUCCUCUGGCAAAGACUCCCGCCUUUGGUAGCGAUGGUUGUUCAUUUGGUUCUUGCUGCCCCAUUUCAACAGCGAGAGAGAGAGAAGUUGUGCAGAGGCUGAGAUUUAACCGGCGCAGUCGCCAUAAUACUCCAACAACCAGUUCUUGUCCUUCUCCCUCCUUAAACCACCAUUAAAAAAACAUCCAUUUUUUGAGAAAAAAAAAAACAAGAUAUUUCCAGAGAAAUAGGAACAGUAACCCCUCCUAGAUUCAAAACAAAAGGAAGGAAAAAAACCUAAACUACCGAGGAGAGGGAGAUUGAAGAGCGAGGAGGAGAGGAGAGAGAGGUGGCGGCUUGAAGAAGAGUUGUUUUAGAAGAAGAGAGAGUGGCAUUGUGUUAUGUAUAUAUUAUUCUCUCUCUCUCUCUCUCUCUCUCUCUCUCUCUCGUGCGAAGACGCCUAUCUGCAACCUUAGAUCCCCGAAAAAAAAAACAAGAUCCCUUAGCAACUCUCCAUUUGUUUUUUUUCUGCUAUUUCUUUGAGGCUCACCCUCUCUAAAAGAUUCAACCGAAGGCCCAACUUUCUUUCUCUAUCUUUGUCUCUUUGCAAUUUCUGAAAUGGUGAAGUUGGAAUUCGGGUUCUGAACACCAAAAGGGUGUCACUAUGCCUCUCUGAGUCCUCUUUCUUUAGUGCCGGACUCCCUAUUUAUAGGGAGUCUGGGGGUCCUAAUUGGCGCCAAAAGCUCGAACAGAGUUCCCCUCUAACCAAUCCUGGCAGAGAAUAUUUUUUCUCUCAUGUGAUUUGUUUUUAUUUUCUUUUAUUUUUGAAUUUUUGUUGCUAACUAACUCUCCCUAUUUCCCUUUUGUGCGUAGGUGAGUGGAAGAUGCUUCCAACUAGCACCUGAGGAUUGGAGGGGAUUUUUUAUUACUUUCUAUUUUAUUUUAUUUUAUUUUUUAUUUUGGAUGUAUUUGCUGUACAAGAUGUACCACGGUCCCUUCAGCACUACAACUAUUCAUUAUAACAUUCCUGUAUCUUUGGUUUUUAUCUUUUUUAACUUUUGAAGAACUUUUAUA